UACAGAGGGUGCAAGCGUUAUCCGGAUUCACUGGGUUUAAAGGGUGCGUAGGUGGGCUGGUAAGUCCGUGGUGAAAUCUCCAAGCUUAACUUGGAAACUGCCGUGGAUACUAUUAGUCUUGAAUCUCGUGGAGGUAAGCGGAAUAUGUCAUGUAGCGGUGAAAUGCUUAGAUAUGACAUAGAACACCGAUAGCGAAGGCAGCUUGCUACACGAGUAUUGACACUGAGGCACGAAAGCGUGGGGAUCAAACAGG
Molecule: ribosomal RNA, 253 nt
Filed under: uncultured bacterium
Lineage: Bacteria
Description: partial 16S ribosomal RNA
Rfam family: Bacterial small subunit ribosomal RNA
Source: RNAcentral